Molecule: ribosomal RNA, 253 nt
Filed under: uncultured bacterium
Lineage: Bacteria
Description: partial 16S ribosomal RNA
Rfam family: Bacterial small subunit ribosomal RNA
Source: RNAcentral
UACGGGAGGUGCAAGCGUUGUUCGGAUUGAUUGGGCGUAAAGCGCGCGCAGGCGGUCCUUUAAGUCUGAUGUGAAAGCCCACGGCUCAACCGUGGAGGGUCAUUGGAAACUGGGGGACUUGAGUGCAGAAGAGGAAAGUGGAAUUCCACGUGUAGCGGUGAAAUGCGUAGAGAUGUGGAGGAACACCAGUGGCGAAGGCGACUUUCUGGUCUGUAACUGACGCUGAGGCGCGAAAGCGUGGGGAGCAAACAGG